UACGUAGGGGGCAAGCGUUGUCCGGAUUUAUUGGGCGUAAAGAGCGUGUAGGCGGCCAGAUAGGUCAGCUGUGAAAACUCGAGGCUCAACCUCGAGAUGUCGGCUGAAACCAUCUGGCUAGAGUCCGGAAGAGGAGAAUGGAACUGCGAGUGUAGAGGUGAAAUUCGUAGAUAUUCGCAAGAACACCAGUGGCGAAGGCGGCUCACUGGCCCGGUACUGACGCUGAGGUGCGAAAGCGUGGGGAGCAAACAGG
Molecule: ribosomal RNA, 253 nt
Filed under: uncultured bacterium
Lineage: Bacteria
Description: partial 16S ribosomal RNA
Rfam family: Bacterial small subunit ribosomal RNA
Source: RNAcentral